Molecule: long non-coding RNA, 252 nt
Filed under: Lathyrus oleraceus (garden pea)
Lineage: Eukaryota; Viridiplantae; Streptophyta; Magnoliopsida; Fabales; Fabaceae
Description: Pisum sativum (pea) long non-coding RNA (PSAT_LNC006071)
Source: RNAcentral
AAAAAAAUUCAAGACAGAACAUGAAAUUCAACAUGAAUCAACCUCAAUCAAUUAAGAACACAAUCCAAAAGGUCUCAUGUCAAUAUCAUUCACCAAAUCCAUUUCAUGAACUAAAUAGGGCAAGGUAUGCUAGUUGUGAUCACAUUGUGACAACAGAAUGAACAAAUGCACAUUAAAUCAAAAAUGAUUCCAAUAAUUUCAACAAAAUUCAUGAGUAAACAGUACAUACAACAUGAUCAUCACACAAAAAAU